AAUUUUGGACAAUGGGCGCAAGCCUGAUCCAGCCAUGCCGCGUGAGUGAAGAAGGCCUUCGGGUUGUAAAGCUCUUUCGGACGGAAAGAAAUCGCGCAGGCUAAUACCCUGCGCGGAUGACGGUACCGUCAUAAGAAGCACCGGCUAACUACGUGCCAGCAGCCGCGGUAAUACGUAGGGUGCGAGCGUUAAUCGGAAUUACUGGGCGUAAAGCCUGCGCAGGCGGUUGAUUAAGACAGGCGUGGAAUCCCCGGGGUUAACCUGGGAACUGCGGUUGUGAAUGGUUAGCUUGAGUAAGGCAGAGGGGGGUGGAAUUCCACGUGGAGCAGUGAAAUGCGUAGAGGUGUGGAGGAACACCGAUUGCGAAGGCAGCCCCCUUGGGCGAUACUGACGGUCAUGCACGAAAACGUGGGUAGCAAACAGG
This 424-nucleotide ribosomal RNA is filed under the name uncultured bacterium. RNAcentral describes it as "partial 16S ribosomal RNA". It matches the Rfam family "Bacterial small subunit ribosomal RNA", at positions 360 to 776 of the family's 1533-position model. The record is from RNAcentral.